This is a non-coding RNA of Pelobates cultripes (western spadefoot toad), 616 nucleotides long. The record is from the annotation of a GenBank genome assembly. Lineage: Eukaryota; Metazoa; Chordata; Amphibia; Anura; Pelobatidae.
CUGAGAACCUCUUCAUACCCAACCUGUGAGAGGUACACUGUUUUACCCCUCCUACCUGAGAACCUCUUCAUAACUUACCUGUGAGGGGCACACUGUUUUACCCCUCCUACCUGAGAACUUCUCCAUACCUAACCUGUGAGGUGUACACGGUUAUACCUCUCCUAUCUGAGAACCUCUCCAUACCUAACCUGUGAGGGGAACACGGUUAUACCCCUCCUAUCUGAGAACCUCUCCAUACCUAACCUGAGGGGUACACGGUUAUACCCCUCCUAUCUGAGAACCUCUCCAUACCUAACCUGUGAGGGGGUACACGGUUAUACCCCUCCUAUCUGAGAACCUCUCCAUACCUAACCUGUGAGGGGUACACAGUUAUACCCCUCCUACCUGAGAACCUCUCCAUACCUAACCUGUGAGGGGUACACGGUUAUACCCCUCCUACCUGAGAACCUCUCCAUACCUAACCUGUGAGGGGUACACUGUUAUACCCCUCCUACCUGAGAACCUCUCCAUACCUAACCUGUGAGGGGUACACGGUUAUACCCCUCCUAUCUGAGAACCUCUCCAUACCUAACCUGUGAGGGGGUACACGGUUAUACCCCUCCUAUCUGAGAACCUC